This 481-nucleotide long non-coding RNA is filed under the name Mus musculus (house mouse). RNAcentral describes it as "predicted gene, 34350". The record is from RNAcentral. Lineage: Eukaryota; Metazoa; Chordata; Mammalia; Rodentia; Muridae.
CUGGAGAGCUGGCCCCACCGCUCACUGACAGCUCUCUCCGGGGCAGGACCUUGCCUAUCACUCAGUGUUAUCUACGCAGUCAAUGAUAUCCUUGUCCACAGUCUGACGACAUCUCCUGCUACAAGUGACAAAACGCGGAUGGUGAUGGUGUGUCUGCCUGUCAUAGUGUCUUUACUCUGGGUCUCUGCUUUUGGUUUGCUGACACUUCACUUUGAUAUAUUGAGGUGGGCAGGCAACGACAGGACAGUCGCAUCCUCUGCUGUAACAGCCAGGACAAGUGCUUCAGACAUACAGCACUCCAAGGUUCCAUCCACUGAGAGAUCACUGCUGCUGUUCAGGGGCUGAGCAAAGGCUUGUCAUUCAGAAACUGGCCGCACCUUGUCACCUGUCAGCACAUCCUUGGGAUCAGACUGACGCUUCAAGAAAUGCGUUUAGCAUCAAAGGGAGUUUGCGGCUCAUAGAGACAAGAGUUCAAACCUCG